GGACAGUGACGAUUAAAAGGUCUCGUUCGUCGUAAUAUUGGCCGUAAAAGGUCUAUUUGCCGACCACUCUGUUAUAUUCUCUGAGUCC
RNAcentral lists this small nucleolar RNA (88 nucleotides) under Brassica oleracea var. oleracea. Its description in RNAcentral is "snoRNA snoZ43". It matches the Rfam family "Small nucleolar RNA Z43". From Rfam's summary of the family: Z43 is a member of the C/D class of snoRNA which contain the C (UGAUGA) and D (CUGA) box motifs. Most of the members of the box C/D family function in directing site-specific 2'-O-methylation of substrate RNAs. The record is from Rfam by way of RNAcentral. Lineage: Eukaryota; Viridiplantae; Streptophyta; Magnoliopsida; Brassicales; Brassicaceae.